UGGGGAAUAUUGCACAAUGGGCGCAAGCCUGAUGCAGCCAUGCCGCGUGUAUGAAGAAGGCCUUCGGGUUGUAAAGUACUUUCAGCGGGGAGGAGGGGAGUAAAGUUAAUACCUUUGCUCAUUGACGUUACCCGCAGAAGAAGCACCGGCUAACUCCGUGCCAGCAGCCGCGGUAAUACGGAGGGUGCAAGCGUUAAUCGGAAUUACUGGGCGUAAAGCGCACGCAGGCGGUUUGUUAAGUCAGAUGUGAAAUCCCCGGGCUCAACCUGGGAACUGCAUCUGAUACUGGCAAGCUUGAGUCUCGUAGAGGGGGGUAGAAUUCCAGGUGUAGCGGUGAAAUGCGUAGAGAUCUGGAGGAAUACCGGUGGCGAAGGCGGCCCCCUGGACGAAGACUGACGCUCAGGUGCGAAAGCGUGGGGAGCAAACAGG
RNAcentral lists this ribosomal RNA (429 nucleotides) under Chloroflexota bacterium. RNAcentral describes it as "Chloroflexi bacterium partial 16S ribosomal RNA". It matches the Rfam family "Bacterial small subunit ribosomal RNA", at positions 355 to 776 of the family's 1533-position model. The record is from RNAcentral. Lineage: Bacteria; Bacillati; Chloroflexota.